UACGAAGGGGGCUAGCGUUGUUCGGAAUUACUGGGCGUAAAGCGCGCGCAGGCGGUUCUCCAAGUCAGUGGUGAAAGCCCGGAGCUCAACUCCGGAAUUGCCAUUGAAACUGUUGAACUUGAGGACGAGAGAGGUGAGUGGAAUUCCCAGUGUAGAGGUGAAAUUCGUAGAUAUUGGGAAGAACACCGGUGGCGAAGGCGGCGAUCUGGGUAGAUACUGACGCUGAGGUGCGAAAGCGUGGGGAGCAAACAGG
This 253-nucleotide ribosomal RNA is filed under the name uncultured bacterium. RNAcentral's name for it is "partial 16S ribosomal RNA". It matches the Rfam family "Bacterial small subunit ribosomal RNA", at positions 524 to 776 of the family's 1533-position model. The record is from RNAcentral.